CCCGGGUCUUGUACACACCGCCCGUCACACCAUGGGAGUGGGUUUCACCAGAAGUAGUUAGCCUAACCCGCAAGGGAGGGAGCCGUCGAAGGUGGGAUUGGUGACUGGGGUG
Molecule: ribosomal RNA, 112 nt
Filed under: uncultured bacterium
Lineage: Bacteria
Description: partial 16S ribosomal RNA
Rfam family: Bacterial small subunit ribosomal RNA
Source: RNAcentral